GGCGCCGUACCCAAGCGGUAAGGGAGAGGUCUGCAAAACCUUUAUGCGUGCGUUCGAUCCGCACCGGCGCCU
RNAcentral lists this transfer RNA (72 nucleotides) under Treponema sp. RNAcentral's name for it is "tRNA-Cys". It matches the Rfam family "tRNA". Rfam says of the family: Transfer RNA (tRNA) molecules are approximately 80 nucleotides in length. Their secondary structure includes four short double-helical elements and three loops (D, anti-codon, and T loops). The record is from RNAcentral. Lineage: Bacteria; Pseudomonadati; Spirochaetota; Spirochaetia; Treponematales; Treponemataceae. RNAcentral also lists the same sequence under 1 other name.